UACGGGGGGGGCAAGCGUUGUUCGGAAUUACUGGGCGUAAAGGGCUCGUAGGCGGCCAACUAAGUCAGACGUGAAAUCCCUCGGCUUAACCGGGGAACUGCGUCUGAUACUGGAUGGCUUGAGAUUGGGAGAGGGAUGCGGAAUUCCAGGUGUAGCGGUGAAAUGCGUAGAUAUCUGGAGGAACACCGGUGGCGAAGGCGGCCAACUGGACGAGCACUGACGCUGAGGCGCGAAAGCGUGGGGAGCAAACAGG
Molecule: ribosomal RNA, 253 nt
Filed under: uncultured bacterium
Lineage: Bacteria
Description: partial 16S ribosomal RNA
Rfam family: Bacterial small subunit ribosomal RNA
Source: RNAcentral